This is a non-coding RNA of Anas platyrhynchos (mallard), 2339 nucleotides long. The record is from RefSeq and is a predicted model, not a curated record. Lineage: Eukaryota; Metazoa; Chordata; Aves; Anseriformes; Anatidae.
GCGCAUUCAGCGGGGCGUGCGCAGUGUGCGCAGUGUGCGCAGUGUGCGUAGCGCGCUGCGUGCGCGGCGUUCCUAGGGCGCGGCCGGUGCCCCGCCUGGAGCUGUUUGUUUGUGCCGCUGCGGCGGCGCGGCGCGGCACGGGAGCGGAGCGGAGCGGAGCGGAGCCCGGCCGGGCUCGGCGCUGCUGCGGUCGCCAUGUUGAGGCGCAGCAAGGCCGAGGUGGAGCGCUGUGUCGCCUCCGUGCAGGCCUCUGCGGCUUCUCGGAGAGAGAAAUCGUUGAAAGGAUUCCAGUUCGCUAAGCUGUAUUUUGAAGUAAAGGAGUAUGAACUUGCUAAAAGGUAUAUAUCUACAUACCUCAGUGUGCAAAAGAGAGAUGCGAGAGCACACAGAUUUCUUGGACAAAUUUAUGAAGCUGAGGACAACAUAGAAAAAGCUUUUGGAUGUUACAGGUGUGCGUGCAUGGGGAAAACUAGCGUUCUGUGGAGUUGAACCCAAUGCAGAAAGAUCUAGUACUGAAGAUAGCGGAGUUACUGUGCAAUAAUGCCGUCACUGAUGAAAGAGCAAAAUACUGGGUUGAAAAAUCUGCUAAGUUGUUUCCUGGAAGCCCUGCUGUUUACAAGUUGAAGAUAACACCUUACCAUCCCAUUUGGGUAAAAGUCAGAGUAAUAGCGAACUGCAAGUCGCCCGUCAGAAUCUCCAGGUAGGAACUGUAAUGGCCUCAGACAUUUUGUAAUGAUCAGUAAUGUUACAAAGAUUCUCACUUUUGACAGAGAAUUCAGAAAUUACUAACUAUAUCACUGUCAUCAUCCACCUCUUCCCCUAAAUUAGUUCACUGACUUGGUAAUGACAUGGGUAGUGGUUAGAUCAGAUAUUUGCUCUGCUGAAGGGAGUUUGAACACAGUGCUAUUAUUCCAAGAGUUGUGUCUUGUGAUGCGGUGUUGGCAUGGAGAGAAACACCUGCAAGCACUGCUUUUCCUGACAGCACCUGAAACUAUGCUCUUCACUCUGGGCAUUCAAGAGCACUUGCCCUCUUGACUUGAUCUUCUGUGAAGACCAUCCCUUCUGCCUUUACUUUUCUGCUGCUGGUGACUCCCAAUAGUUUAUCCACCAGCAGGCUUGGGCCACUAACUAAAGAGCUCCCAAACCUGCAUUGGUUUUAUUCUGUAACAGCUUCUGUGCUUCUGCUAGAUUUCCUGCUGGGACUGUCUUUUGCACCAUCCAAGAUGAAAAGAAUUGUGCGUAUCUUUUUUCUCACCACUUUCCUAGAGGUGCUUUCCACUAACUGAAGAAACAAUACAGCAAUCUAGUGUUUAGGGCACUGGACUCUUUUGUCUUACAGAUAAUAGCAUUAUCCAAAACUUCUGGAAACAAAAUCCUACUUUUAAUUGUCUAUGCUGUUACUUGAACAGCCAUGCAGAGUUGAAUUCUGCAUUUUGGAAGGCCAAGCAGUCCUGCCGCAAAUCCAAUUGAAUGUAGAUGGCCAUUAGGAUACUUCUAAUUAGUCAGCUAUUGUGUAACACUAUAAUUAAAAACAAAACCUAAGCAUAUCUGCAGAGGAAAGAAUUCUAGUUCACUAUAAAUCGGUAAUUUCAUGUGUUUCGAAGGCGUUUCAACAUUUUUUUUCCUUGGUAUAGAGGGAGCGUUCAGCACAGGAGAAAUAUGCACUGGAACUUGAGAGACGAGAACGUGCUCUAGUUGAGCGAGAAGAAUUGCUUCACAGAUGUGAAGCAGCUUUCGCUGCAAUAAAAGAUGCUGAUGAAGACGUUUAGGCAGUACUUGGAACUAUGAAAAAAGUACAAUAACUUACUUAGUGAUUCUUAUUGCUCCCCAUACAUUUUAACUUGCUUGUAGUUUUCUUAAGCCAUCAUAUGUUUGCUGGAUAUAAUGCUUAUUUCUUUAAAGUGUUUGAAACCCCCAAAUGAAAGAUUUAGCAUAAAAAGUGCCAAACUGUUGUUAGUGAGUUUGGUGUGGUUUCCAGUUCAGAAUGGUGCAAUGAAUUGUGGGAUGUGUAGGUACAGAUUACUGUUGAAAUUUGGGAAAACUAGAUUAAAAUGAAGCAGUUAACCACUGGGUUAGAGAGGUCAGUAAGACUGGUGCUUCCAGUAUUUGCAGGUCUUCGGAACAGACUAGACAAACAUUUGGCAGGAAUGAAGUGAUGCACUUUAUUAUGAUACAGAUGGUACCCGAUUUGAUAAUGGAAUUGGAUGGUUUAGACAUCCUGGCACCACCUACAACAGCCCUGUGGUCUGUGAAAUUAUUGCCAAAUCCCUGAAGAACUGUGAAAUUAUUGUCAAAACCCCAAAUAUGCAAGCCUUAUAAAGCAUUGUGUAAUGUGGUUU